CCGUAGCCUUAUGGAGGGGGAUAACAGAGAGAAAUCACUGCUAAUACCGCAUAAGCACACAUUGCCGCAUGGCAGAGUGUGAAAAGAUUUAUCGCCAUAAGAUGGACCCGCGUCUGAUUAGCCAGUUGGCAGGGUAAAAGCCUACCAAAGCAACGAUCAGUAGCCGAUCUGAGAGGAUGACCGGCCACAUUGGGACUGAGACACGGCCCAA
RNAcentral lists this ribosomal RNA (211 nucleotides) under uncultured bacterium. RNAcentral describes it as "partial 16S ribosomal RNA". It matches the Rfam family "Bacterial small subunit ribosomal RNA", at positions 125 to 334 of the family's 1533-position model. The record is from RNAcentral.